AGUUCCUGAAGGGAAGUAUAGGCUCACUGCUACAGUGUCGAAGUCGUCAAUUGCUUUGAUUUCUGGAAUGUUUGCGGUGGCUUGGACGGCAACCUACAAUCAAAUAUUAUCACAAGUAGUAAAGUGCUUGUAAAUAAAAGAAACAAUAGUUAAGUUUCUAUGAUGUUUUACCAAAGAUUCUUACCCUCACUGGAUACUCUCCAAGAACCCAAGUAAUUAUGUCGAUAUCAUGGACCAUGCAGUCGUGGAAAAUACCACCAGAGUGUUUCAAGUAAUCAAUGGUAGGAAGAGGAGAAUCCCGUGAGACAGUUUUAAUUACAUAAGAACAGCAGAGAAAUGAUGAACAAUCGACAAUAUGCAGACGAAAAGAAAAGUCUACGUUGAUGAAGAAGAGUUGGAACCCAAGAAGAUUACUCACUGCUUAUAAAGAUAGUCCUCUACAGGCGGCUUCGGCGACGGUUUGGUGUACGGUGAUGCUUCCUUAAAUUUUGCUGUUGCCAUGGUAUCUAAAUUUUACUGAAUAAUUCAGAAGAGCCGAUAUACAAUAAGUCAGCAGUCUCGUUGCUCAGCGAGACUCUGUUCGGCUACUACGGUUCUUAUACACAUAAACGUGCCGGUCCUCGAGGUGGGGGAAGACCAAACAUGAUUAUGUGUGACGAAAAUUACAACGCGCGAAUCUCUCCAGCAACGAUUUCAGAUUUUUUAAACGAUUAAAUUGCCCAGAGGUCGCGUGACUUUUUAUUAUUUGUAUUUAAUUAUGAAAACACUUGGCGCCAUAACUAUACCCUCAGAAGAAAUACAAUUUGAUACAAUAUGUAUUUAUUAAAAUGUAUAGAAUAAAGUUUCACUGAAUUUUCUCAAGCUUUAAGGAAUUUUCAAGUGAAACAGUAGAAGGAUAAUUGUCUAAAAGGUGCAUUAAGAUGGAUGAUUAAUUAUUUUGGAUAAUACUGUACUUCAUGAAUACAAAAAGAGAUAAUUUCUCAUAUUUCAGCAUCUUUUCUUAUUUGUAAAAAAAGUGGUCGUUUCUUUUACAUUGAUUGCCAAAUUCAUGCAAAAUCAAGCGCUUUUUCUAAAAUAUUGAACUGCUUAUCUAAAGUCAGUGGAAUUUAUUGAAUCUAGUUAAUCAUUCCAUAAAUCAAACCGCAUAUUUCGUCCAUAUAUAACGUGGUUCGAGAAUUUUCGACCGCUUUAUUGAAGUAAUUUGUUAGGUACAAUCAGACAAGUUAGCUGCGGAGUCGCUCGUGCCAAUUGUCGAUAUUAUAAGUAUUUCUUUAUAAGACUUUACUAGAGACUUCGAUUGUUCUCAGCGUGUCAGUCAGUCGCGGCAAAGAGAAACAUAAAAUUGCCGCGACCGAGUUGCAAAUAAGUGCAAGAACAAGUGUUACUUCUGUAUAAAAUGAUCAGCGUCCACCAAAGAUAUGCUGGACUUCACUUCUCUGAUAAAGAACAUAAUCAUCAAAAUACUAAUAUGAUUAUUUAACUUUGUUUUGGAAGAGUUACCUUUUGUCAGAUUGUAAUUCUGCUGAUACUGUUACAUCUUUGGGCUUAGAGAAGUCACAUUCUAAAACAAAAGCUGCAUCACCUGGCGUGAUUAAUUCGUCGUCAUGCUGGAUGACUAGGGUGUUCUUGUACUUAUCAUCAAGCUGAAAUAUUUUGCACUGGUUGAAGGGGAUGUCAAUGGUAAAGUUACCACCAUGAGAUGGAUCUAAAAAACAAGGAGCCUGUCUCGAAUAGAAGCUACCU
Long non-coding RNA from Megachile rotundata (alfalfa leafcutting bee), 1743 nucleotides. NCBI's taxonomy places the organism in Eukaryota, Metazoa, Arthropoda, Insecta, Hymenoptera, Megachilidae. The record is from RefSeq and is a predicted model, not a curated record.